AGUGAACGCUGGCGGUAGGCCUAACACAUGCAAGUCGAACGGCAGCACAGUAAGAGCUUGCUCUUACGGGUGGCGAGUGGCGGACGGGUGGGGAAUACAUCGGAAUCUACUUUUUCGUGGGGGAUAACGUAGGGAAACUUACGCUAAUACCGCAUACGACCUACGGGUGAAAGCAGGGGAUCUUCGGACCUUGCGCGAUUGAAUGAGCCGAUGUCGGAUUAGCUAGUUGGCGGGGUAAAGGCCCACCAAGGCGACGAUCCGUAGCUGGUCUGGGAGGAUGAUCAGCCACACUGGAACUGAGACACGGUCCAGACUCCUACGGGAGGCAGCAGUGGGGAAUAUUGGACAAAGGGCGCAAGCCUGAUCCAGCCAUACCGCGUGGGUGAAGAAGGCCUUCGGGUUGUAAAGCCCUUUUGUUGGGAAAGAAAAGCAGCAGGUUAAUACCCCGCUGUUCUGACGGUACCCAAAGAAUAAGCACCGGCUAACUUCGUG
This 492-nucleotide ribosomal RNA is filed under the name uncultured bacterium. Its description in RNAcentral is "partial 16S ribosomal RNA". It matches the Rfam family "Bacterial small subunit ribosomal RNA", at positions 29 to 507 of the family's 1533-position model. The record is from RNAcentral.